CCUGACGGUAGUCGUAUGCUCGUCUCCGAGACUAAGCCAUGCAAGUCCAAGUACACGUCCUUGAACGACGGAAACUGCGAACGGCUCAUUAAAUCAGUUGCGAUCUACUCGGCGUUCCGCGCCGCCGGAUAACCGUAGUAAUUCUAGGGCUAAUACGUGCGAAGCGCCCGAAGCCGCGAGGCGACGGGCGUUCUCGCCGGAUGUAGGAACCGACCCGGGGACCGCCGGGGCAACCCGGCGCCCCCGAGACGGGGCGAACCACGGUGAAAUGACGGAUCGUCGGCCCCGCGCCGGCGACUCGCCGAAUGAGUUUCUGACCUAUCAACUCGAGACGGCGGGGUAGAGGCCCGCCGCGGUAACGACGGGUAACGGGGAAUCAGGGUUCGAUUCCGGAGAGGGAGCCCGAGAAACGGCUACCACUUCCAAGGAAGGCAGCAGGCGCGCAACUUACCCUAAUCUCGAUUCGAGGAGGUAGU
Molecule: ribosomal RNA, 476 nt
Filed under: uncultured eukaryote
Lineage: Eukaryota
Description: bacterial SSU rRNA
Rfam family: Eukaryotic small subunit ribosomal RNA
Source: RNAcentral